This 95-nucleotide Y RNA is filed under the name Tupaia belangeri chinensis (Chinese tree shrew). Its description in RNAcentral is "Tupaia chinensis (Chinese tree shrew) Y RNA". It matches the Rfam family "Y RNA". Rfam says of the family: Y RNAs are components of the Ro ribonucleoprotein particle (Ro RNP), in association with Ro60 and La proteins. The Y RNAs and Ro60 and La proteins are well conserved, but the function of the Ro RNP is not known. The record is from Rfam by way of RNAcentral. Lineage: Eukaryota; Metazoa; Chordata; Mammalia; Scandentia; Tupaiidae.
GACUGGUCCAAUAGUAGUGAGUUAUCAGAACUUACUAACAUUACUGUCACUAAAGUUAAUAUACCACCCUCCACUGCUAAAUUUGACUGACAUAA